Molecule: ribosomal RNA, 440 nt
Filed under: uncultured bacterium
Lineage: Bacteria
Description: bacterial SSU rRNA
Rfam family: Bacterial small subunit ribosomal RNA
Source: RNAcentral
CCUACGGGUGGCAGCAGUGGGGAAUAUUGCACAAUGGGCGCAAGCCUGAUGCAGCGACGCCGCGUGAGGGAUGACGGCCUUCGGGUUGUAAACCUCUUUCAGCAGGGAAGAAGCUUUCGGGUGACGGUACCUGCAGAAGAAGCGCCGGCUAACUACGUGCCAGCAGCCGCGGUAAUACGUAGGGCGCAAGCGUUGUCCGGAAUUAUUGGGCGUAAAGAGCUCGUAGGCGGUCUGUCGCGUCUGGUGUGAAAACCCGAGGCUCAACCUCGGGCUUGCAUCGGGUACGGGCGGACUAGAGUGCUGUAGGGGAGACUGGAAUUCCUGGUGUAGCGGUGGAAUGCGCAGAUAUCAGGAGGAACACCGAUGGCGAAGGCAGGUCUCUGGGCAGUUACUGACGCUGAGGAGCGAAAGCAUGGGGAGCGAACAGGAUUAGAUACCCU